RNAcentral lists this ribosomal RNA (253 nucleotides) under uncultured bacterium. RNAcentral describes it as "partial 16S ribosomal RNA". It matches the Rfam family "Bacterial small subunit ribosomal RNA", at positions 524 to 776 of the family's 1533-position model. The record is from RNAcentral.
UACAGGGGGGGCAAGCGUUGUUCGGAAUUACUGGGCGUAAAGGGUCUGUAGGUGGCCAACUAAGUCAGACGUGAAAUCCCUCAGCUUAACUGGGGAACUGCGUCUGAUACUGGAUGGCUUGAGUGUGGGAGAGGAAUGCGGAAUUCCAGGUGUAGCGGUGAAAUGCGUAGAUAUCUGGAGGAACACCCGUGGCGAAGGCGGCUCUCUGGGACGGUACUGACGCUGAGACACGAAAGCCAGGGGAGCAAACGGG